UGCUUUUCUCCUUGCCUGAAAUUGAAAAGAUCUCAAGAGAUUUAUUUACUUUAUGAACUGCUUUGUUAGUGUUAAUAAUUUUUAUAUUCAUGGUUGUUUCUGAAGAACUUUUACUGAUCAUGUAUCAACUAUGCCACUUAAAUCAGUAGCACAGUUCUCCUCUUCCAUAAAUACUGAUAGUAAAACACUCAGAAAACUUAUAAAGGGAAUGUGUUCGUUCAGUCACCACCUAUUGGAAACUGGUUCCUCUGACAUUUUUCUAGUAUUUGCCUCUCAAUCUAGAUGGAUACUCAAAAAAGUUUUAGUGCCCAAUUACCUUAGUGAUCUAAUCUGCUAAAUAUACCACCAAAAACUGUCAGUCUAGAAUUGUAGAGUCAGGUGGAAUCCUUUUUCUUAACGUAUUUGGAUAAUUCAUUAGGAAGUAGAUUUUGUGUCCUUUCCUCAAGCAUAUGUUUGUGUCUUUGAACUUGACUGCAUUACAGUAAUAGAGAAAAGUGACAAAAUAUUUUUAUAUUAUUAAUGAAUUAAAAGUUAACCAUAGGGAUUUUUGUAGUUUAUCUGCUGUUGGCUGACUCAGUCUGUAGGCACAGCAACAAUUUAAGAUAUGUAUGUAUCUUUCUGUAUGUAUGUAUCUUUCUUUUCCUCAAUGCAUGAUCAGCACCAAGAAAGUCCUCUUUAACAUACCUUUCUACACACCUCAACUAAGGAAAGAAUGAAGCAAGUUAACAUGAACAAUAAAGAAGCUUUGAUUACUAUAUCUCAAUCUGAAAAAUUAUGUUGCCAACCCAGUAUCAAAUAAGGUAUUGGAGGCUCUGAGUAGCUCCCAAAUAAGUUACUCAGUACCACAGCAACAAAAAUUUAUUUGGUUAUUAUGAAAGCUAUGUAAGUAUUAACUUUUUAUUGGUUCUUAAAGCAAAAUCUAUGCACGUUUAAAUAUGUCAGUUGCUGUUCUUAAAAGACUAUGAUAAACUGUUUUCCCACUGUUUAGGCAGAUGUCAUUCAUAAAAUGUAGAGCAGUUAGGAAGUUGGACUCAGUUGGUCUGGGAGUAUGAAGAACAAGGAAAUAUUAAGCAAAUGGUAUAACAUUUCCAGAUCUUUUUUUUUCAUCUAUGAAAAUUGGGGAAGAGGGUGCUGACAGCUGACCCACUUGACCUGAGACCUUUGACCUUUAUCUUUAAAAUUCUCUUUCUGAUGACUUGGACACAACUAUUUUCAAUAGAAAAAUGAGAAGUAAGCAAGAUUUCAUUUUCAAAAUAAAUGUUAGUAAAGUUUUUAAGUAGAUUACUGCCCUUACCAGUUUGUGAUAACUUGGAGUGACCUUAGUGGAGUGUAGCUAAGGACGCCACAAUCAUUUUCUGCCUCUUUCACCAAUAAAGACAGCUUCUUUACCCUUAGAAUUGUUCUCCAAGCUCAUGUCAUUUAUGACAGGGGCUUCUACUGAGAGUUUCAAUAGCUAAGAAUAAGACUAUCGUUACUGCUUUUAAAAAAGACCAAAACACAUAAUAACUGCAACCAUUAAAGCACCUACUACGUGCCAUACUAAUUAUAGAUACAGAUAUAGAUAUAAAUAGAUGUAUGAGUUUAUUUAAUCCUCACUGUGUAUAUAUUAGGUCAUUUAACUACAAUUCUGCAAGGUAAAUAGCCAAGGUCCAAUGUCACAUAUGUGGAAAUUAUUUUUGGCUAAGAGAGGUUCUAUAAUUUACCCAAGGUCAUGCAAAUGGUUGUACCAGAUAUAAAUUCCAAAUCAACCUGUGCUUUUCUGCUUCAUAAUGCUUCUUGUCCCAUGACCUUGUCAGGCUGGAUUAUUCAACAACAAAAAUGUACUGAAUAACUAUGCAAAGCUUUAUGAAGGUUGUAAGGGGAAUAUAAGACCUAGACCUUUUGCUCAAGGAACAAAUAAAUAUGGGAUUCACCAAAUCUUAGAGUUGGAGAUUAGAGGUGUUCUCAACAUCUAAUUUACAGCCAUGCAGGUAUGUUUCCCCAUAAUGUGCUUAACUGUUGUUACUACAGUUGCUACCUGGAUACUGCUAGGGACAGAGAAAUUAAAGCUUCAGAAGGUAGUACAUUUUUGAGCUACUCUAAAAGCUAGAAAAGGUGUUUGCUACAGUGCUUCUUCAUAGAGAGGGCUUCUGCAACUUUCUCCCUUUUGGUUCUAGUUUGGAAUUAAUAAGCCUAACCUGGGAAUUAAUAAGCCUGACUUUAGUUCCGCCUUACAGUCAGUUUAACUAGAGCUAUCUUGUUUGCCCUAAUUUUCUUGCCUUUUUUUUUUUUUUUUACAAAGUAUAUUUAUUUCCAUUGCUCCUUAUAUGCUAGGGUGUCUAGAUCCAGCCCAUUCUAAAGGUGCC
Molecule: long non-coding RNA, 2345 nt
Organism: Leopardus geoffroyi (Geoffroy's cat)
Lineage: Eukaryota; Metazoa; Chordata; Mammalia; Carnivora; Felidae
Exons: 2
Source: RefSeq, a predicted model, not a curated record